This 629-nucleotide long non-coding RNA is filed under the name Populus trichocarpa (black cottonwood). Its description in RNAcentral is "long non-coding RNA (PTRI_LNC003560)". The record is from RNAcentral. Lineage: Eukaryota; Viridiplantae; Streptophyta; Magnoliopsida; Malpighiales; Salicaceae.
UGGAGGAGUCACUGGAGGCUUUGGUGGUGGAAGAGUUGGUGGUGCUGGUGGCAUUAUUGGAGGAGUCACUGGAGGCUUUGGUGGUGGAAGAGUUGGUGGUGUUGGUGGUGUUGGUGGCAUUAUUGGAGGAGUCACUGGAGGCUUUGGUGGUGGAAGAGUUGGUGGUGUUGGUGGCAUUAUUGGAGGAGUCACUGGAGGCUUUGGUGGUGGAAGAGUUGGUGGUGUUGGUGGCUUUAUUGGAGGAGUCACUGGAGGCUUUGGUGGUGGAAGAGUUGGUGGUGGAAGAGCUGGAGGUGUUGGUGGCUUUAUUGGAGGAAUCACUGGAGGCUUUGGUGGUGGAAGAGCUGGUGGUGUUGGUGGCAGAACUGGUGGUUUGGGCACAUAUGGUGGUUUUGGUAUGAAGGGCGGAUGCACAAUGGGUGGUUUCGGUUUGAAGGGCGGAUGCACAAUGGGUGGUUUCGGUUUGAAGGGCGGAUGCACAAUGGGUGGUUUCGGUGUAUAGGGCGGAUGCACAAUGGGUGGUUUCGGUUUAAACGGGGGAUGUACAAUGGGAGGUUUGGGAACAACAGGCGGCUUAGGUGGGUGGGGUUUGGGGGGUUUAGGGUCAUGGGGUGGCUUUACUGUGGGAG